This 2157-nucleotide long non-coding RNA is filed under the name Scophthalmus maximus (turbot). Its description in RNAcentral is "lncRNA (ENSSMAG00000032380.1)". Lineage: Eukaryota; Metazoa; Chordata; Actinopteri; Pleuronectiformes; Scophthalmidae. The record is from RNAcentral.
AUGUAUCAUUCAGACUCCGCCCACCCUCCUCCUCAUGCUUCCUCUCCUCCGGCUUCUUCAUCAUCAGCCUCUCGUCUCCUCCCUCCUACUCCCUUUCCUCUCCUCCUCUCCUCUAAAACUCUCUUCUAUUUUCCUUCCCGUCGUCUCCGCGAGUCGCGUCCUCCUCUCCUUGACUCCUCUCCUCUCUCGUCCCAUCCUCCCCUCCUCUCCUCUCUCAUCUCCUCCUCUCCUCCUCUCCUCUCUUGUCCCCUCCUCGCCUCCUCACUUCUCUUGUCCCCUCCUCUCCUCUCUCAUCCCCUCCUCUCCUCCUCUCAUCCUCUCUUCUCUCUUCCCCUGGCCUCCUCCCCUCCUCCCCUCCUCCCCUUCUCUCCUCCUCUCCUCCUCUCCUCCUCCCCUCGUCCCCUCUUCUCCUCUCUCAUCCCCUCCUCUCCUCCUCUCAUCCUCUCUUCUCUCUUCCCCUGGCCUCCUCCCCUCCUCCCCUUCUCUCCUCCUCUCCUCCUCUCCUCCUCCCCUCGUCCCCUCCUCUCUUCUCUCGUCCCCUGGCCUCCUCCCCUUCUUGCCUCCUCUCCUCCUCUCCUCCUCCUCCUUCUCUCCUCCUCUCCUCCUCCCCUCCUCUCCUCCUCUCUUCUCUCGUCCCCUGGCCUCCUCCCCUCCUCUCCUCCUCUCCUCCUCUCCUCCUCUCUUCUCUCGUCCCCUGGCCUCCUCCCCUUCUUGCCUCCUCUCCUUCUCUCCUCCUCCUCCUCCUCCCCUCCUCCUCCUCCUCCUCCUCCUCCUCCUCUCUCUCGUCCCUGGCCUCCUCCCCUCCUCUCCUCCUCUCCUCCUCUCUUCUCUCGUCCCCUGGCCUCCUCCCCUUCUUGCCUCCUCUCCUCCUCUCUUCUCUCCUCCUCUCCUCCUCCCCUUCUUGCCUCCUCUCCUCCUCUCCUUCUCUCCUCCUCCUCUCCUCCUCCUCCUCUCCUCCUCCUCCUCCUCCUCCUCUCUUCUCUCGUCCCCUGGCCUCCUCCCCUCCUCUCCUCCUCUCCUCCUCCUCCUCCUCCUCCUCCUCCUCUCUCUCUCGUCCCCUGGCCUCCUCCCCUUCUUGCCUCCUCUCCUCCUCUCCUCUCCUCCUCCUCCUCCUCCUCCUCCUCCUCCUCCUCCUCCUCCUCCUCCUCCUCCUCUCUUCUCUCGUCCCCUGGCCUCCUCCCCUCCUCUCCUCCUCUCCUCCUCUCCUCCUCUCUUCUCUCGUCCCCUGGCCUCCUCCCCUCCUCCUCCUCCUCUCCUCUCCUCCUCCUCUUCUCUCGUCCCCUGGCCUCCUCCCCUUCUGCCUCCUCCUCCUCCUCUCCUCCUCUCCUCCUCUCCUCCUCCUCCUCUCCUCCUCCUCCUCCUCUCCUCCUCCUCCUCCUCCUCCUCCUCCUCCUCUCCUCCUCUCUUCUCUCGUCCCCUGGCCUCCUCCCCUCCUCUCCUCCCUCUCCUCCUCUCUCUCUCCCCUCCCCUCCUCCUCCCCUUCUUGCCUCCUCUCCUCCUCUCCUCCUCUCCUCCUCCUCCUCCUCCUCCUCCUCCUCCUCCUCUCCUCCUCUCCUCCUCUCUUCUCUCGUCCCCUGGCCUCCUCCCCUCCUCCUCUCUCUCUCUCCCCUGGCCUCCUCCUCCUCUCCUCCUCUCCUCCUCCUCCUCCUCCUCCUCCCCUCCUCUCUUCUCUCGUCCCCUGGCCUCCUCCCCUCCUCUCCUCCUCUCCUCCUCCUCCUCUUCUCUCGUCCCCUGGCCUCCUCCCCUUCUUGCCUCCUCUCCUCCUCUCCUUCUCUCCUCCUCUCCUCCUCCCCUCCUCUCCUCCUCUCCUCCUCCCCUCCUCUCUUCUCUCGUCCCCUGGCCUCCUCCCCUCCUCUCCUCCUCUCCUCCUCUCCUCCUCUCUUCUCUCGUCCCCUGGCCUCCUCCCCUCCUUGCCUCCUCUCCUCCUCCAGGCUUUCUGCACUUGUCCAUGCCUGUCAACCGAAAGCAGAGCAGCAUUCUUCAACGCACACAUUCCUGAUCCUGCUCGGCAAGUUAUUUUUACCAUCAGAGUGUGUUGCGGGCCGCUCGACGCCGCCGGCCUCCUCCCUCAGUUGGAAGCAUCUUUUCAUCCGCAAACUGCUCUCAGGUUUUGCUUGGUCACUCCUUCCCUCCCGUGACUUCCCAGUUACACUGUAA